GUGAACGCUGGCGGUAGGCCUAACCCCUGCCAGUCGCACGGCAGCACAGUAAGAGCUUGCUCUUACGGGUGGCGAGUGGCGGACGGGUGAGGAAUACAUCGGAAUCUACUUUUUCGUGGGGGAUAACGUAGGGAAACUUACGCUAAUACCGCAUACGACCUACGGGUGAAAGCAGGGGAUCUUCGGACCUUGCGCGAUUGAAUGAGCCGGUGUCGGAUUAGCUAGUUGGCGGGGUAAAGGCCCACCAAGGCGACGAUCCGUAGCUGGUCUGAGAGGAUGAUCAGCCACACUGGAACUGAGACACGGUCCAGACUCCUACGGGAGGCAGCAGUGGGGAAUAUUGGACAAUGGGCGCAAGCCUGAUCCAGCCAUACCGCGUGGGUGAAGAAGGCCUUCGGGUUGUAAAGCCCUUUUGUUGGGAAAGAAAAGCAGCAGGUUAAUACCCCGCUGUUCUGACGGUACCCAAAGAAUAAGCACCGGCUAACUUCGUG
RNAcentral lists this ribosomal RNA (491 nucleotides) under uncultured bacterium. RNAcentral's name for it is "partial 16S ribosomal RNA". It matches the Rfam family "Bacterial small subunit ribosomal RNA", at positions 29 to 507 of the family's 1533-position model. The record is from RNAcentral.